RNAcentral lists this ribosomal RNA (468 nucleotides) under uncultured bacterium. Its description in RNAcentral is "partial 16S ribosomal RNA". It matches the Rfam family "Bacterial small subunit ribosomal RNA", at positions 28 to 507 of the family's 1533-position model. The record is from RNAcentral.
GACGAACGCUGGCGGCGUGCUUAACACAUGCAAGUCGAGCGGAAAGGCCCUGCUUUUGUGGGGUGCUCGAGUGGCGAACGGGUGAGUAACACGUGAGUAACCUGCCCUUGACUUUGGGAUAACUUCAGGAAACUGGGGCUAAUACCGGAUAGGAGCUCCUGCUGCAUGGUGGGGGUUGGAAAGUUUCGGCGGUUGGGGAUGGACUCGCGGCUUAUCGGCUUGUUGGUGGGGUAGUGGCUUACCAAGGCUUUGACGGGUAGCCGGCCUGAGAGGGUGACCGGCCACAUUGGGACUGAGAUACGGCCCAGACUCCUACGGGAGGCAGCAGUGGGGAAUAUUGCACAAUGGGCGGAAGCCUGAUGCAGCAACGCCGCGUGCGGGAUGACGGCCUUCGGGUUGUAAACCGCUUUCGCCUGUGACGAAGCGUGAGUGACGGUAAUGGGUAAAGAAGCACCGGCUAACUACGUG